Molecule: non-coding RNA, 113 nt
Organism: Acanthosepion pharaonis
Lineage: Eukaryota; Metazoa; Mollusca; Cephalopoda; Sepiida; Sepiidae
Source: the annotation of a GenBank genome assembly
UAUGGUCAUAUCAUGUUGAAACAUUGGUUCCCAUAUUAUCACCAAAGUUAAGCAACAUUGACCCUCGUCAGUUCCUAGAUGAGUGACUUCUUGGGAAUACCAGGUGCUGUAAG